Leptopilina boulardi is the source of this 444-nucleotide long non-coding RNA. RefSeq lists it as uncharacterized. The record is from RefSeq and is a predicted model, not a curated record. The transcript has 3 exons. Lineage: Eukaryota; Metazoa; Arthropoda; Insecta; Hymenoptera; Figitidae.
UUAAUUACUUUUUUUUAUUUAAAAAUCGUGAGGGACUCUAGUAUAAAAUAAGCAAAGUUCAGUUGGUAAUUUCAUAGUCUCAUCUAAAGUUCACAGAAGUUACUGCAAAUUAUAUAUCUGAGAUAUUAUCUUACAGCAAAAUGCGUGUUAUUUCAUCAUUGGUUCUCAUAACAUUUGGAGUGUUAUUGGCUAUUACUUCUGGAAAUGCCUUGACUGCAGAACAGUUAAAGCGAAGGGCACAAGCUGGAAAGUAAGAAGAUAUUCACAACCAUCAACGUCAUCUAUUUAAAUAUUUGCUUUAAUUUGUGUAUAUAUUUAAAUGAAGACAAAUAUUAAUAUGUAUUAUCAAAGAAAACAAAAAAAUUAUGAAUAUUUUCAAAAAUUGAAUAUUUUAAAUACUAUGAAAAAAAAAAAAAUGUGAAAUAAAUCAUUUAAUCAAUUAAA